RNAcentral lists this ribosomal RNA (253 nucleotides) under uncultured bacterium. RNAcentral's name for it is "partial 16S ribosomal RNA". It matches the Rfam family "Bacterial small subunit ribosomal RNA", at positions 524 to 776 of the family's 1533-position model. The record is from RNAcentral.
UACAGAGGUGGCAAGCGUUGUUCGGAAUUACUGGGCGUAAAGGGCGCGUAGGCGGCCUUCUAAGUCAGACGUGAAAUCCCCCGGCUUAACCUGGGAACUGCGUCUGAUACUGGAAGGCUUGAGUGCGGGAGAGGGAUGUGGAAUUCCAGGUGUAGCGGUGAAAUGCGUAGAUAUCUGGAGGAACACCGGUGGCGAAGGCGACAUCCUGGACCGACACUGACGCUGAGGCGCGAAAUCUAGGGUAGCAAACUGG